Molecule: ribosomal RNA, 427 nt
Filed under: uncultured bacterium
Lineage: Bacteria
Description: partial 16S ribosomal RNA
Rfam family: Bacterial small subunit ribosomal RNA
Source: RNAcentral
UGGGGAAUAUUGGACAAUGGGCGAAAGCCUGAUCCAGCCAUGCCGCGUGUGUGAAGAAGGUCUUCGGAUUGUAAAGCACUUUAAGUUGGGAGGAAGGGCAUUAACCUAAUACGAUAGUGUUUUGACGUUAACGACAGAAUAAGCACCGGCUAACUCUGUGCCAGCAGCCGCGGUAAUACAGAGGGUGCAAGCGUUAAUCGGAAUUACUGGGCGUAAAGCGCGCGUAGGUGGUUUGUUAAGUUGGAUGUGAAAUCCCCGGGCUCAACCUGGGAACUGCAUUCAAAACUGACUGACUAGAGUAUGGUAGAGGGUGGUGGAAUUUCCUGUGUAUCGGUGAAAUGCGUAGAUAUAGGAAGGAACACCAGUGGCGAAGGCGACCACCUGGACUAAUACUGACACUGAGGUGCGAAAGCGUGGGGAGCAAACA